GCGGUUAAAAAGCUCGUAGUUGGAUUUCUGUUGAGGACGGCCGGUCCGCACUAUGUGCGUGUAUCUGGUUCGGCCUUGGCAUCCUCUUGAGGAACGUAUCUGCGCUUGAUUGCGUGGAGCGGUAUUCAAGACUUUUACUUUGAGGAAAUUAGAGUGUUCACGGCAGGCAAGCGCCUUGAAUACGUUAGCAUGGAAUGAUAAUAUAGGAUCUUGGUUCUAUUUUGUUGGUUUCUAGAGCUAAGGUAAUGAUUAAUAGGGAUAAUUGGGGGCAUUUGUAUUAACGCGUCAGAGGUGGAAUUCUUGGAUUGCGUUACGACAAACUACUGCGAAAGCAUUUGCCAAGGAUGUUUUCAUUGAUCAAGAACGAAAGUAUGGGGAUCGAAGAUGAUUAGAUACCGUCGUAGUCUAUACCAUAAACUAUGCCGACUAGGGAUUGGAGGUCGUUCUUUUUAUGACUCCUUCAGCACCUCAUGAGAAAUCAAAGUCUUUGGGUUCCGGGGGGAGUAUAGUCGCAAGGCUGAAACUUAAAGGAAUUGACGGAAGGGCACCACCAGGAGUGGAGCCUGCGGCUUAAUUUGACUCAACACGGGGAAACUCACCAGGUCCAGACAUAGUAAGGAUUGACAGAUUGAUAGCUCUUUCUUGAUUCUAUGGGUGGUGGUGCAUGGCCG
Molecule: ribosomal RNA, 671 nt
Filed under: uncultured eukaryote
Lineage: Eukaryota
Description: SSU rRNA
Rfam family: Eukaryotic small subunit ribosomal RNA
Source: RNAcentral